This 2281-nucleotide long non-coding RNA is filed under the name Homo sapiens (human). RNAcentral describes it as "LHRI_LNC930.3". Lineage: Eukaryota; Metazoa; Chordata; Mammalia; Primates; Hominidae. The record is from RNAcentral.
AGCUGCCCGCCGCCGCGUAACCCCGAGGCCGAGACUCCUGGCCUGGCCUCCUUGGGCCCACGACGCCUGCCCCGCGGAGCGGACCCAUGGGCCUGAGGUUUGUGUGCGGGGCCUCAGGCGAGCGCUGGCGCAGCCUGUCCCCCAUCGUCUGCGCCCUGCGGGCCUGGCCCUCCCCGUGGAAGGACCGCGGGCUUCGGGGCCCCACGCUGGGGGGCUGACUCCUGCCACACACACAGCGGUGGCCGCGGGCCUGGGGCGGCAGCACAGCCAUUCUGCUCGGGCUGCGUGAGCUGACCCCGCUCUCUGUGCACCUACUUUUGCUGCGUUUGGUGCUGAGCCUGAAGUCCCAGGACAGGCGGCUGAGGGGGAAAGAUGGUGUGAAUUGGGUGGGCAGAGACAACUGAAAGCCACAGGACCCGGUUGGCACCUUUUUGGCCGCCUGCGCCUUUGCCUGCAGCCCCGCUCCCUGGGUCACCCGAAGGAGGAGCUGGCGCUCUUUCCGGGCGCAGAAGCACCCGACCCACGCUGGAGGAAACGGUCCCUCUGGGCAGGAGAAGCUUUGGGCCUGGCUGGAGCACACUCACGGAACCACGCCAACGCCUGGCCUGUAGCCAGCUCCCACCUCCCCUCCCACCUUCUAAAAUGCUUGCGGAUCUCACGUGGCCGACCCUAACCAGAUACACAUGGGGAAAGGAAUCAGGUGGCACACAUACCGCCUUUACUCCAUAGAGAACUUCCAAUUGUGGGUAAGAACAAAGCCCCACCUCUUCCUAAUAGAUGCAGUUUUCCACCUGCAGCCAAAAAGACAACCUGUUAUUAGCUUUUUUCCCAGAGGACAGGCAUCUCUAUGAAACUGCCAUUGCAAAAUUUGCCGACAGUGAGAUAACCAGCUCCAUUUUGCUUCUAACCUCCAUGCCCUCCUUGUUUACUGCUGCACGCAGGUUGAACUGUGGGAGGAACUUAGUUUAAAACAAAGAUGAUAACAGCCCUUUCCCAAAGGAAACCUUUCCUGGGGAUUAGCCUGCUUUUGUGGGACCAACAGAUUAGCCACAAGAUUAGAAACUACGGUUGAAGAGUCACGCAGCGGGAGGCUACAGGAUUCUGACCCUCCCCAAACUGCUCCUGGCGAUAACAUCACCAUCGUAAAGCCUAAGAUCAGCACUUGGUGGGUCACCUGGCACCACCCAGGCUCAUCUGAUGUUGUGGCACCCAGGAACUGACUCAGUGCGAAAACAGCUUCGACUCCCUGUGAUUUCAUCUCUGACCUGACCAAUGGGUACUUCUGACUCACUGGCUGCCCCCCACCCACCAGCUUAUCUUUAAAAACUCCAAACCCCAGAUGCUCAGGGAGACCGAGUAAUAAUAAAACUCCAGUCUCCCACACAGCUAGCUCUGCGUGAAUUACCUUUUCUCUGUUGCAAAUGCCCUUUCUUGAUAAAUUGGCUGUCUAGGUAACAGGGAAGGUGAACCCACUGGGCAGUUACACUUUUAUCCACCCUUCCAGCUGGAUCACGCGCCCUCUUCAAUGACAUGACACGCAGCUAGAGUGUAUGAGCUUGCUGCCGGCACCUUCCGUCCUGGAUCGCAUAGCAAGGCCUCAAUGGACAGCCAGGUGCCUGGUCCGGUCCCACUUUUUUUUCUGUCCUGUUCUCGUUUCCUCUUUGCUUGGCCAAAGAGGGUUGGGCCAGGGUCCUGAGUGCAAAGGCUUGGCUUGGUGAAUUAAAGUGGCAGUAGCCGUGUGGCAGAGAAAAUUUGUAGAUGGGUGAAAUCCUGGGCCUACACAGUGACAAAGUGUAUAUAGACAGCCAGCCUAGUUGGUGGAUGUGACAACCCCAGACUCUUCUAGAUUUGUGGAUCCGUGCACCUGCCAGACCUGUCUCUGAGCCAUCUGGGGAGGCUGGGUCGGCACAGACGCAACCCAGUCUCCUCCCACCUCCGAGAGUGCAGUGUCCUGAAUGGAGAACCCCAGCACCCAGAAGCAUCCACUGAAGGACUAAAUUCUACACAUGAAGGCAAACGUCCGUGGUUGACAGAAAUUACACUGGCCAGAAUCCCCAGUCCCCAUGAGGCUUGUCCAGACGCAGUGAACCAGUCGCAGCUGAUAACACACAGACCAUUCCCGAUCCCAGAGGUGCAUUUCAGGAUUCAUUCUAUUUCAUCAGAGACGGGGUCUUCCUGUGUUGCCCAGGCUGGUCUCGAACUCCUGGGCUGAAGCAAUCUUCCUGCCUUGGCCUCCCAGAGGGUUGGAAUUGCAGAUGUGAGGUAAUGUCCAGUUCCUUGC